GGAAGCCACCAGCUGAUACUCUGAGAUCCUGUAAGAAGAAGAUUAGCCUGAGCUAACACCGGUGCCCAUCUUCCUCCACUUUAUAUGUGGGAUGCCUGCCUCAGCAUGGCUUGACAAGUGCUGCAUAGGUCCAUAUCCGGGAUCUGAACCGGCGAACCCCAGGCCGCUGAAGUGGAAUGUGUGAAUUUAAUUGCUGCACCACCAGGCCUGCCCCUCACCUCACACUCUUGGUGGCUGCUGCACAUGGUUCAAAGUGGCUAUUCCAGAUUAAGCAUCAAAAAUUUAAGACGUGUAAUGCAGUUCAAUAGGUGGUAUUGCUUGUAUUGCUUCGAAUCCUAAUGUUUUCUUUCGGGUCCUAGGCCCAGAGCCGGGCUGAUAUGCUUGGAUGGAUUAAGUUUAUGAUAAACUGACCAACUGGAGAAUCCAGCUGCAUGUUACAUGGACACUCCAGCAGCCCUGUAAUCCAGCUGCAUGCUAUAUGGACACUCCAGCAGCCCUGUAAUCCAGCUGCAUGCUAUAUGGACACUCCAGCAGCCCUGUAAUCCAGCUGCAUGCUAUAUGGACACUCCAGCAGCCCUGUAAUCCAGCUGCAUGCUAUAUGGACACUUCAGCAGCCCUGUAAUCCAGCUGCAUGCUAUAUGGACACUCCAGCAGCCCUGUAAUCCAGCUGCAUGCUAUAUGGACACUCCAGCAGCCCUGUAAUCCAGCUGCAUGCUAUAUGGACACUCC
RNAcentral lists this long non-coding RNA (729 nucleotides) under Equus caballus (horse). RNAcentral's name for it is "lncRNA (ENSECAG00000055633.1)". Lineage: Eukaryota; Metazoa; Chordata; Mammalia; Perissodactyla; Equidae. The record is from RNAcentral.